Molecule: long non-coding RNA, 749 nt
Organism: Catharus ustulatus (Swainson's thrush)
Lineage: Eukaryota; Metazoa; Chordata; Aves; Passeriformes; Turdidae
Exons: 4
Source: RefSeq, a predicted model, not a curated record
CUUACAGUGCACUAUUUAGUCCAUUCAGAAGCUCUCUGAAUCUAACACUAGAUUCUGUGCCAAACCAAGAAAGGAGCUUUCAUCAAGUGUUCAAGCGCAUCUGUGUGACAAUGGAUACAUUCUUGCCCAGCAUACAAGUAUGUUUAAAGUAGUCUACACAAAUUUGGUAAGACACUGAUGCUUCUAGCCUAGCACUGAAUCACUGCUGCAAGCCAUUACUGUUUCACUCCUUGCCACCUGUCCAUAAUAUACUUGUUCCCUGUUGUCCACCUCUCCUAUUCUUCAAUGUAGUAUAAAACGAGAUAAGAACAAGAAGUGUACUUGAGCUAUCUGAGAAAGGAACCUUAUCAUUUGGCAAAGAAGAGAAAUUUUUGCAUUGACCACUGCAGCAUAGUCAAAACAUAUUCACAUACAUCUCCUAGGAAGAUUUGGCUCUUGUGGCUCACCACUGCAGGGCUGAAAGCUGAAGAAUGGAUGUGCCAGUCACUGUGGUUUGGUUACAGGCAUUAUAGUUAAGAACUAAUCUCUCAAUUUACAGCUCUGUAUUCUAUGUAUUCUGUAUAUAACAACAUGUGUUCAUCUGAAAGCUUUUCAGUUCACUUCCUUUUUAUUUAUUCAUCUUUCUGUAACUGCAGAUGAAUAGUGGCUAAUCAGAAAUAUCUGUGUUUGGUUAUGUUUACAUCUAUGCCAUGUUCUUUUUCACUUUUUAAAGUGGGAUAAAACUUGCUGCACCAACAGCUCCAUAGAAA